Long non-coding RNA from Haliotis rubra (blacklip abalone), 309 nucleotides. RefSeq lists it as uncharacterized. NCBI's taxonomy places the organism in Eukaryota, Metazoa, Mollusca, Gastropoda, Lepetellida, Haliotidae. The transcript has 3 exons. The record is from RefSeq and is a predicted model, not a curated record.
AUCAACUGCAACUAUAUCCUGAAAAUCUGCUCCAUAUUUUAGCAUAUCCUUAAAAGGAAAAUUGCAUGGGUUACCAGGAUUUGUUUUUUUAAAGUAUAGUUUGAGUGUAGAUAAUUUCAUGGCGUUAACAUAGGUCUUAAUAUCAAUCAUCCGUAGACCCCCAUUUUGUAAUCUAUUUUUAAAGUGCUCCGUUUGAUUUUGUCAUUUUUGUCAUUCCAGAUGAAUUUAAAAAAUACUCUCUCAAUCGCGGUGAUAAAAUCAUCUGGAGGGUUAGGUAAAGUGUUAAACAAUGAAAUUCGCUAACCAUGG